AGUCCCCACCUGAGGACGGCACAGAGAAAGACUGGAACAGGAAACACACGGAGGAAAGCAGGUUGAACAGCUAGCAGUGUUCUAGCAGUCGGAUCACAUUGGAACAGAAUCCAUCCACACAUGUUUGGAGGAGCUGAAGAAGAGGACGGAGCACACAGUCCACUAAGGAGGAGAAACAUGGCUCCUCUAUUUGUCUCUCCAACAUUCUGGAGUCUAAAAAACGUUGACGACCUCGCAGCUAAACCAUCAGUCUGCUCCACCCAGGAGAAGAAGGUAACAAACCUUUAUUGCUUCCAGAUGUUCAUCAGUAUUAGUGAAG
Cyprinodon tularosa is the source of this 319-nucleotide long non-coding RNA. RefSeq lists it as uncharacterized. Lineage: Eukaryota; Metazoa; Chordata; Actinopteri; Cyprinodontiformes; Cyprinodontidae. The transcript is spliced from 3 exons. The record is from RefSeq and is a predicted model, not a curated record.